This 91-nucleotide microRNA precursor is filed under the name Notamacropus eugenii (tammar wallaby). RNAcentral describes it as "miRNA (ENSMEUG00000017185.1)". The record is from RNAcentral. Lineage: Eukaryota; Metazoa; Chordata; Mammalia; Diprotodontia; Macropodidae.
AUGUAUAUGUGCAUGUAUGUGUAUAUGUAUAUGUAUAUAUGCAUGCUUUAUACACACACACACACACACACACACACACACCACACACACA